GACGAACGCUGGCGGCGUGCCUAAUACAUGCAAGUCGAACGAACCGCGACUGAGUGCUUGCACUUGGUCAAGGUGAGUGGCGAACGGGUGAGUAACACGUGGGUAACCUACCUCAUAGUGGGGGAUAACAGUCGGAAACGACUGCUAAUACCGCAUAGGACAUAGGAUCACAUGAUCCAGUGAGGAAAGGUGGCGCAAGCUAUCGCUAAGAGAUGGACCCGCGGUGCAUUAGCUAGUUGGUAGGGUAAAGGCCUACCAAGGCGAUGAUGCAUAGCCGACCUGAGAGGGUGAUCGGCCACAUUGGGACUGAGACACGGCCCAAACUCCUACGGGAGGCAGCAGUAGGGAAUCUUCCGCAAUGGACGCAAGUCUGACGGAGCAACGCCGCGUGAGUGAAGAAGGUCUUCGGAUCGUAAAGCUCUGUUGUUAGAGAAGAACAGCGCAUAGAGUAACUGCUAUGCGUGUGACGGUAUCUAACCAGAAAGCCACGGCUAACUACGUG
This 502-nucleotide ribosomal RNA is filed under the name uncultured bacterium. RNAcentral describes it as "partial 16S ribosomal RNA". It matches the Rfam family "Bacterial small subunit ribosomal RNA", at positions 28 to 507 of the family's 1533-position model. The record is from RNAcentral.